AUAGGCAGGUAGCAAAUCCUCAGGGAACACUGACUGAAUGAACCCAUAACUCAAUGGCCACAGGCCUGGACAGGGAGAGGGCCAAAGGGGUCUGAAGCUGCUGGGUGAAUGAGAACAUCCUUUGACUUUGAUGCAAAAGUCACCGGCACUUCCCAGCCUCCUGUGGCACCACCAGGCCUCCAGGGACACCACUGCCCUCUAAAGUGCUGUCGCAAUGAGAGAAACUCUCUAGGUCUGUUCCAGAGAACACGGCUGAGGCCACUGGAGCUUGCCCCCUCUGUGAUUUGCUAGUGAGAUAUCUGACUGGAAAAGUGGUCCCUGUCUGUGUGAUUCUGGUGCAUGCUUCAAAAGGCUGGGACCUCAAAAGCAGCGAUGACUCGAUAGCCCAGGGAAGGAAGAACUCACUGUACAAAACAAGACUGAGCAUGGAAAACAAGAGGACUGCACAGUCAACCACCAAAGUGAUUUGAAAUCGGGUAAAUUGCAAAGAUAGGAGCUCAAAUAUGGACUUAGAGAAGGGACACCGUGGCCCACAGUGACCCAGCUCAUCACUGCCUGAUGCUGAUGCUCCAUGGAGUCCUAGCACAGCUGACACUGGGAGGCGGAUAGGGCACCUCUGUCCAGCCUCGCCCAGCCCAGCCCUGUCUGCUCCACUUGGCCGUCCUACAUCACACUCAGUAAGGUCAGUGUCUACAGAAACCCACACCAGCUUGUUCUCAAACAACAGCGACGCUUGGCCAAGUAGAUACCACUGUGUGCAGCUUAUUCUCGUCUCUGCUUGUUUCAGAAGUGCCGAGUAGAAGGAAUAGUUAACUUCCCUAAAAAUCCAGACGACAGCUUUAUCCUUAUUGACAAAAACUACUUGUUUAUAGCCAAUGGUUGGUCCGAUACGGUUGCUGGGAAAUAGAAAUCUAUGAAGGGAUCAGCAGGUGUUCAGUAAAUAUUUGCCGAGUGAAUUAAUGCAUUAAUUAAUUCACCUUUCUACACCAAAUAUUCACAAUGCAAGG
Gorilla gorilla gorilla (western lowland gorilla) is the source of this 1007-nucleotide long non-coding RNA. RefSeq lists it as uncharacterized. The record is from RefSeq and is a predicted model, not a curated record. NCBI's taxonomy places the organism in Eukaryota, Metazoa, Chordata, Mammalia, Primates, Hominidae. The transcript is spliced from 3 exons.